This 490-nucleotide ribosomal RNA is filed under the name uncultured bacterium. RNAcentral's name for it is "partial 16S ribosomal RNA". It matches the Rfam family "Bacterial small subunit ribosomal RNA", at positions 28 to 507 of the family's 1533-position model. The record is from RNAcentral.
GAUGAACGCUAGCUACAGGCUUAACACAUGCAAGUCGAGGGGCAGCAUGGUCUUAGCUUGCUAAGGCCGAUGGCGACCGGCGCACGGGUGAGUAACACGUAUCCAACCUGCCGUCUACUCUUGGACAGCCUUCUGAAAGGAAGAUUAAUACAAGAUGGCAUCAUGAGUCCGCAUGUUCACAUGAUUAAAGGUAUUCCGGUAGACGAUGGGGAUGCGUUCCAUUAGAUAGUAGGCGGGGUAACGGCCCACCUAGUCUUCGAUGGAUAGGGGUUCUGAGAGGAAGGUCCCCCACAUUGGAACUGAGACACGGUCCAAACUCCUACGGGAGGCAGCAGUGAGGAAUAUUAGUCGAUGGGCGAGAGCCUGAACCAGCCAAGUAGCGUGAAGGAUGACUGCCCUAUGGGUUGUAAACUUCUUUUAUAAAGGAAUAAAGUCGGGUAUGGAUACCCGUUUGCAUGUACUUUAUGAAUAAGGAUCGGCUAACUCCGUG